RNAcentral lists this ribosomal RNA (425 nucleotides) under uncultured bacterium. RNAcentral's name for it is "partial 16S ribosomal RNA". It matches the Rfam family "Bacterial small subunit ribosomal RNA", at positions 354 to 796 of the family's 1533-position model. The record is from RNAcentral.
GUGGGGAAUAUUGGACAAUGGGCGCAAGCCUGAUCCAGCCAUGCCGCGUGAGUGAUGAAGGCCUUAGGGUUGUAAAGCUCUUUCGUCAGGGAAGAUAAUGACGGUACCUGAAGAAGAAGCCCCGGCUAACUUCGUGCCAGCAGCCGCGGUAAUACGAAGGGGGCUAGCGUUGCUCGGAAUCACUGGGCGUAAAGCGCACGUAGGCGGCUUUCUAAGUCAGGGGUGAAAUCCUGGAGCUCAACUCCAGAACUGCCUUUGAUACUGGAGAGCUUGAGUUCGGGAGAGGUGAGUGGAACUGCGAGUGUAGAGGUGAAAUUCGUAGAUAUUCGCAAGAACACCAGUGGCGAAGGCGGCUCACUGGCCCGAUACUGACGCUGAGGUGCGAAAGCGUGGGGAGCAAACAGGAUUAGAAACCCGUGUAGUCC